This 497-nucleotide ribosomal RNA is filed under the name uncultured bacterium. RNAcentral's name for it is "partial 16S ribosomal RNA". It matches the Rfam family "Bacterial small subunit ribosomal RNA", at positions 28 to 507 of the family's 1533-position model. The record is from RNAcentral.
GAUGAACGCUGGCGGCGUGCCUAAUACAUGCAAGUCGAGCGAACAGACGAGGAGCUUGCUCCUCUGACGUUAGCGGCGGACGGGUGAGUAACACGUGGAUAACCUCCCUAUCAGACUGGGAUAACUUCGGGAAACCGGAGCUAAUACCGGAUAAUAUAUUGAACCGCAUGGUUCAAUAGUGAAAGACGGUUUUGCUGUCACUUAUAGAUGGAUCCGCGCCGCAUUAGCUAGUUGGUAAGGUAACGGCUUAUCAAGGCGACGAUGCGUAGCCGACCUGAGAGGCUGAUAGGCCACACUGGAGCUGAGACACGGUCCAGACGACUACGGGAGGCAGCAGUAGGGAACCUUACGCAAUGGGCGAAAGCCUGACGGAGCAACGCCGCGUGAGUGAUGAAGGUCUUCGGAUCGUAAAACUCUGUUAUUAGGGAAGAACAAAUGUGUAAGUAACUAUGCACGUCUUGACGGUACCUAAUCAGAAAGCCACGGCUAACUACGUG